This 601-nucleotide ribosomal RNA is filed under the name uncultured soil bacterium. RNAcentral's name for it is "bacterial SSU rRNA". It matches the Rfam family "Bacterial small subunit ribosomal RNA", at positions 834 to 1379 of the family's 1533-position model. The record is from RNAcentral.
ACCCUCUGAGAGGCGUAGCUAACGCGUUAAGAGAAGCGCCUGGGUAGUACGGCCGCAAGGCUAAAACUCAAAGGAAUAGACGGGGACUUGCACAAGCAGUGGAUUAUGUGGUUCAAUUCGAUGACAAACGAAGAACCUUACCAGGGUUAGAAAUCCAAGCGAAGACAGGAGGAAACUUCUGUCGUCUCACAAGGACGGUUGGACAGGUGAUGCAUGGCCGUCGUCAGUUCGUGGUUUGAAUUGUUCCCUUAAGUGGGGUAACGAACGCAACCCUCGUUGGCUGUUACAAGUGUCAGCCGAGACUGCCCUAGAUUUUGUUUGCGAAGCAAACAAAAUCAGAAUCAUGAAGCUAGAUUCUGAUUUUGCCUCGUCGGCAAAAUCUAGGGAGGAAGGCGAGGAUGACGCCAGGUCAGCAUGUCCCUUUGAUAUCUUGGGCUACACACAUAAUACAAUCGCCGCUACAACGCGACGCAAUACCGCAAGGUGGAGCAAAUCGUCAGAAAAGCGGCGCCAGUUCGGAUUGAGGUCUGCAACUCGACCUCAUGAACCGGAAUUGCUAGUAAUCGCCGGUCAGCUAUACCGCGGUGAAUACUUCUCAAGU